AUAGGUUUCUAUGGGCACCUAACGCGACCAGAUUCCGGUCUGCCUAAAGGGCCGUGUCAUAAUGCUCCUACAAUGAAUAGAACAGUCCUUAGGUCUGCCUAAGGGGGGCCAUAAUAGAACCAGGAAACAAUGGGCCAAUGGAACCUCUCUCUCUCUACUCUCUCUGAUUAAGCGUUUACAUGUCCAAAACAAAAGAGAACUCAUGACUUGAUCAUAAUGACACACAUGGCUACAACGAGUCACACCGUGCCAUUCAAAAGACCAUUGGAGUAGGCCUACUAAUCAAACUGACCUGUUUUUUUGUUUUGUUUUCCUUAAAGGAGCUUGAUGGCCAUUAUUUAUACGUUUAUAAAUAACCUUUAAUUUCUACUCUGUGUUAUUUGUUCUUGCAAUAAAGGAUACGCCUGACAAUUUAUUUGCAUCUAAUAGUACUCGUGCACCAGCCAACUGCAUCUGAUUCAUAUACUGUAGGGUAUAUGGGAACUGACAAAAUGUUGUGACCACAAUGUCAGACCUGUAAUGUUGAAAGAUACUCACAGUCAUGCAUGUUUUUUGUUGAUGUUAGUUUAUAUACUACAAUGGUUAAUUUAUCAGUAUUAUUUAACUGAUGUCCUGAACUCAUAUCUUCUUGAUAGAUUGUCUAGCCUCCAAGUAAUGGCACCAUAUCGAAGAGCACAAUGAGAGAUGAUUAUUUCUGUGAAAGGACAAUAAAAUAAAUUCAAAUGUUUGUAACAUA
Molecule: long non-coding RNA, 736 nt
Organism: Engraulis encrasicolus (European anchovy)
Lineage: Eukaryota; Metazoa; Chordata; Actinopteri; Clupeiformes; Engraulidae
Exons: 2
Source: RefSeq, a predicted model, not a curated record